Long non-coding RNA from Juglans regia (Persian walnut), 763 nucleotides. RefSeq lists it as uncharacterized. The record is from RefSeq and is a predicted model, not a curated record. The transcript has 4 exons. Lineage: Eukaryota; Viridiplantae; Streptophyta; Magnoliopsida; Fagales; Juglandaceae.
CCCAAAUUCGAAUUCCACGUUCCCCCUCCCGAACCAGUCUUCUUCGUUCCCCCUCCCAAACUUCGUCUUCGAAUCGAACUUCUCCCUCGAAGCCAAGCAACCAUUGACCUCAGCCCUCCCAAGGAGAUCAGUCCCCAAGCCUUCGGUCCCUAAGUCCACCAACCUGAAGCCCUAAGUCCAUUUGACGUGAAAGGUGCCCUCAGUCCACCGACGGAAGCCGCCCUCAGUCCGACGCGAGCCCGCCCUCAGUCCACCGACGCGAAGCCCUCAAAUCUGCGGGAGGGAAAAUAAUCUGUGAUUCUAGGGAACUGCAAAUGCUUCAAACAGAAUAAAUAGGAAGAAUUUAGAUCCCACCAUCCAGCUUAUAAGUUCAAGCUCCUUCAUCACAUACUGAAAUUCUUAGGUGCUUUUCAUGUGAGACUAUAAUUCAUCGAAUGAAGGGAGUAUUGCGUGGUGGAUAUUCUGAGAGCUUUGUGAAGUGGCUCUUUCAUGGGGAGGCAUUGUUCCUUAGAAGUUGACUGAAGAGUCACUCUUCCUUAGAAGACUGAAAAAGAUUAGAGCCCCACAGUGUUUAUUCGCGCAUCCUUUAAUUAAUCUAUACUGAGCGCGAGUAAAUUGUUUCUUUUUUUUUCUUCCAAUCUUUGGCAAGUGAAAGUUCUUUACAUGUAAGGUUCAAUUGAAAGCUGACAACUUAACGGGUAUUUGUUGAAUUCAGAAUUAUUUGGCAUUCUCUGAUGUCUAUAAUUAAAACUUGCUUACAUAA